Molecule: long non-coding RNA, 308 nt
Organism: Zea mays
Lineage: Eukaryota; Viridiplantae; Streptophyta; Magnoliopsida; Poales; Poaceae
Exons: 3
Source: RefSeq, a predicted model, not a curated record
CAGCCAACAUCGAACUCCAGAAGUUUCAAAAUAGAGAAGGCCCAUUUAGCAAGAAGCUUGCAAGUACUUUUGAAAACUUUGAUUAUAAUCCAGCAUCAUGGUGGCGGCUUUAUGGAACUGAAACACCAGCUCUACAUAAGAUGACUACCAAGAUCCUAUCUUUAACAGCAAGUUCUUCUGGUUGUGAAAGAAAUUGGAGUGGGUUUGAUGGGGUGCACACUAAGAAGAGAAAUAGGCUUACUACAGACCGCCUCAACAAGUUGGUCUACAUUCAAUUCAACAACAGGCUGAUUAAUAAGAGAGCAAAG